AACGAGACCUUAACCUGCUAAAUAGCCAGGCCGGCUUUCGCUGGUCGCCGGCUUCUUAGAGGGACUGUCAGCGUCUAGCUGACGGAAGUUUGAGGCAAUAACAGGUCUGUGAUGCCCUUAGAAGUUCUGGGCCGCACGCGCGCUACACUGACAGAGCCAGCGAGUUUUUCACCUUGGCCGAAAGGUCUGGGUAAUCUUGUGAAACUCU
Molecule: ribosomal RNA, 208 nt
Filed under: Mycena galericulata
Lineage: Eukaryota; Fungi; Basidiomycota; Agaricomycetes; Agaricales; Mycenaceae
Description: partial small subunit ribosomal RNA
Rfam family: Eukaryotic small subunit ribosomal RNA
Source: RNAcentral